CCCUGACAGCUGCAUGAUGUGGCUGACAUUCGCCACGACAGGAGACUCACAUG
RNAcentral lists this non-coding RNA (53 nucleotides) under unclassified sequences. RNAcentral describes it as "Mu-gpT-DE RNA". It matches the Rfam family "Mu-gpT-DE RNA". The record is from Rfam by way of RNAcentral.